GCCGGGCAUAGUGGUGCAUGCCUGUAGUCCUAGCUACUCAGGAGGCUGAGGUGGAAGGAUUGCUUGAGCCCAGGAUAUUGAGGCUGCAGUGAGCUGUGAUCAUGCCACUGCACUCUAGCCUGGGCGACAAAGCCAGACCCUGUCUCAA
RNAcentral lists this signal recognition particle RNA (148 nucleotides) under Nomascus leucogenys (northern white-cheeked gibbon). Its description in RNAcentral is "Metazoan signal recognition particle RNA". It matches the Rfam family "Metazoan signal recognition particle RNA". From Rfam's summary of the family: The signal recognition particle (SRP) is a universally conserved ribonucleoprotein. It is involved in the co-translational targeting of proteins to membranes. Lineage: Eukaryota; Metazoa; Chordata; Mammalia; Primates; Hylobatidae. The record is from Rfam by way of RNAcentral.